UGCGUCGCCGAGACAACUCUCCAUCUCCAAGCCUCCAACCAGCCGGCACCGGCGAGCCCCACGCAUUGCCAAUUUGGCGUCGCAUUCACAUCCAACCGCUCGCUUGCGCCCCCCGCAACGCAGCGUCACGACACCGCGGAUUCGAUUCCCUCCUGGCCUCCUCCCUCCAAACCUCCGUUGCUUUUCGCUUUUCCGGCUGGGCUGCUGUUACCGCCUUCGGGGGGCAGUCGGGCAGGCGUUGAGCGAGCCCUCGGUCUCGACGCCUCCGUCCGCCACCGGGAGCGCGCCAUGGCCGCCGCCGCCGGCGGCGCGGGUUCUCCCCUCCGCCGCGCGUCGUCGUCCGCCGAGACCGUACGGCCGCGAUGAGCCCCGCGGUCCGGGUGAGGAGGGCUGCUCCGUCCGCGCCCGGUCGGGGCGCCAAGGUGGAGGAGCGAGGGGAGGAGGCGGUGGUCGCGUGGCGGGAGCUGCAGGGCCGAGCGGUGGCGCUCGCGGCCGCGGCCGAGGAGCGGGCGGCCCUGGCCCGCCGCAUCGAGGCCGCGCUCGAGGUGAGGAGGGAGGCGCUGCGGCAGGCGGAGGCGCUGGGCGAGCUGAGGCGGAGGUUGGACCUCCAGCACGCGCGCGCGGAGGAGGCCGUCGUCGGGAGGAGGCGGGCGGCCCAGGACGUCGAGCGGGGGAAGGAGCGGCUGCAGGAGCAGAUCGAGCGGGUGCUGCCGCUGUCCAGGGCCCUCACCGCCGCGCACCAGCGAGUGCAGGAGGCGAAGGAGGCUUUAGCUGGAGACAAGGCCAGGCUUGAGGAUCUGCAGAGGCUGCUUAGGACGAGGCAGCAGUGCAUGGUUGGCCAGGUCGCUGCCUUGUACCCUGUGAAGGUCUUCCAUGAUCUGUCCCAACACGCAGAAAACCAUCGUGCCGACACUAAUGGGGAGCAUGGAACACUUUCAGAGGAAAAUAGAACACCUUCAGGAGCAUAUGGAACUCAUGUACCCAGUGCCAUUAAAUCUCCUCAAGUGCGUGCUUGGACGUUUUUUGGCUGGCAAAUUAUGAAGCCUAAAAGAAGGCAAAAGAAUUACAGUGACAAGGAGCUUCAGAGGUCUGCAACUGUUCUGGGAUAUGCAGCCCAUGCAGUCUUGCUCAUAGCCUCCUAUCUCGAUGUUCCCCUCCGAUAUCCCCUACGCUUUGGAGGAUCCCGAUCUUAUGUGAGUGAUCGUUUGCCUUCAGCUGAAACAUCGGCUGCUUCAGCAGAAAACGCAAGCACGAACAACACCGGGUCAGAACUAACAGAAUACCCCCUUUUCAUGGAAUGCCAAGAAGAUGACUCCACUAGGGCCUCCUAUGCCAUUUAUUUGUUACACAAGGAUACGGAGCAGCUUCUGAACUACAUUGGAGCAGAGAGCUCUGGGAGGCAUGUAUUUGGUAACCUGAGAGAGCUUCUUAGGAUCGUACUGUCCGAUGAGUAUGUGUACAGAUGAUGGAUGGAUUCGAUCCCCACGUGGUUUUGAAGUGCUUAUGCUCUAGAGAAGUGUCAUACAGAUGUUUCUCUGCGUGUUAUCCUAGGCAAGCUAGACAUUUUGCGCAAGCAUCAGGAGCUGAUGUCGAGAUCGCAUUGUCCGGCCGACACGCCACCUCCUAAUUUCAACAGGACCAACCAAUAUCCAGAAAUGCUCUGAGUACCCUGGCUUUCCAACCUGGCGUUCUUGAGCGAGAAGCACGCCACUGAUCUGGCGCCGCUGUGUCAAAGAGGCGACACGGCAAAAUGUGUUUUUUAUGGUUCGCGGCAGGGCCUUGUGAUGUGCCUUCCUAAAGCCGGUGCACCAACAUCUGAUCCUGAGGUGUGGUCAUCAUCAGCGCC
Setaria italica (foxtail millet) is the source of this 1846-nucleotide RNA transcript. RefSeq lists it as uncharacterized. The transcript is spliced from 7 exons. NCBI's taxonomy places the organism in Eukaryota, Viridiplantae, Streptophyta, Magnoliopsida, Poales, Poaceae. The record is from RefSeq and is a predicted model, not a curated record.